Molecule: ribosomal RNA, 450 nt
Filed under: uncultured bacterium
Lineage: Bacteria
Description: partial 16S ribosomal RNA
Rfam family: Bacterial small subunit ribosomal RNA
Source: RNAcentral
GUGGGGAAUUUUGGACAAUGGGCGCAAGCCUGAUCCAGCAAUGCCGCGUGCAGGAAGAAGGCCUUCGGGUUGUAAACUGCUUUUGUACGGAACGAAAAGACUCCUUCUAAUAAAGGGGGUCCAUGACGGUACCGUAAGAAUAAGCACCGGCUAACUACGUGCCAGCAGCCGCGGUAAUACGUAGGGUGCGAGCGUUAAUCGGAAUUACUGGGCGUAAAGCGUGCGCAGGCGGCUUUGCAAGACAGAUGUGAAAUCCCCGGGCUCAACCUGGGAACUGCAUUUGUGACUGCAAGGCUAGAGUACGGCAGAGGGGGAUGGAAUUCCGCGUGUAGCAGUGAAAUGCGUAGAUAUGCGGAGGAACACCAAUGGCGAAGGCAAUCCCCUGGGCCUGUACUGACGCUCAUGCACGAAAGCGUGGGGAGCAAACAGGAUUAGAAACCCUGGUAGUCC